This 497-nucleotide ribosomal RNA is filed under the name uncultured bacterium. RNAcentral describes it as "partial 16S ribosomal RNA". It matches the Rfam family "Bacterial small subunit ribosomal RNA", at positions 28 to 507 of the family's 1533-position model. The record is from RNAcentral.
GAUGAACGCUGGCGGCGUGCCUAAUACACGCAAGUCGAGCGAACGGACGAGAAGCUUGCUUUUCUGAUGUUAGCGGCGGACGGGUGAGUAACACGUGGAUAACCUACCUAUAAGACUGGGAUAACUUCGGGAAACCGGAGCUAAUACCGGAUAAUAUUUUGAACCGCAUGGUUCAAAAGUGAAAGACGGUCUUGCUGUCACUUAUAGAUGGAUCCGCGCUGCAUUAGCUAGUUGGUAAGGUAACGGCUUACCAAGGCAACGAUGCAUAGCCGACCUGAGAGGGUGAUCGGCCACACUGGAACUGAGACACGGUCCAGACUCCUACGGGAGGCAGCAGUAGGGAAUCUUCCGCAAUGGGCGAAAGCCUGACGGAGCAACGCCGCGUGAGUGAUGAAGGUCUUCGGAUCGUAAAACUCUGUUAUUAGGGAAGAGCAUAUGUGUAAGUAACUGUGCACAUCUUGACGGUACCUAAUCAGAAAGCCACGGCUAACUACGUG